GGUGGAGGCUGAGAAGCCGUCUGCCAUUAGGCAUGUUUAUCCUCACAAGUAGGAGAUUUGUAAGCUGAAACAUCAGGUGAAUAAAUGAGCUGUGUUGCUGUAUGAGAUACUUUUGAGGGAAAACCAGGGGAUGAUAAGAACCGUAAAAGAAGACUGGCAAUACCUACGUUUCCUGGAGUGCUACAGAUACUCUGAGUGCUAAGGCCUUGCCAGCAUCCUGCUGCCUUAAAAGAUCGCCAGGCUGGUGGCUGAAGACAAUGAUGUUCAGUGAUGUUAAGCUAAGGAGUUGCACGCAGCAGCUGUGAAUCCCUGGAAGACUUUCUGCUACAGCAAUCCUGUGCUAUCCUGGGUUCAAUUAGAGAUAACAUAGCAAAUUCCAUAAUACAGUUUACUGCAAGUAAAGGUCCUUUACUUCCCUUGGAUUGAGAUUGACAUGCAGCUGCAAAUAUAUCUCACUGUUUAUUGGUAAAUCAUAAAGGGCACGGACCUAAAGAGCUUUGAUUAUAGUCAAGAAAAAAACCUCACUCUUAGCCAAAUUAUACUGCAGCUUUUUGAUUUAUAGCUUUAUGGCAUAGUUGUGGUUUUGAAUCUGUUACUGUGCUUUCAGUUUGAGGACUUUUGAACGCAGACAGAUGCUUUGUUGCUUGCCAGUAGGAAAGAGAAGAGCCUUUUGUAAAAGCAGCAGUUUUAGUGAGAAUUCCGUGGCUAAGGUUCGUACUAGUCUGACCUUUCUUUAAACUGUAUGCAGCAGUCUUUUUUUAUUUUUUAUGAGAUGAAAAGGAUUGAUAACCUUGCUUAGCUUUGCUCCAUGCUAUG
This is a long non-coding RNA of Gymnogyps californianus (California condor), 816 nucleotides long. RefSeq lists it as uncharacterized. Lineage: Eukaryota; Metazoa; Chordata; Aves; Accipitriformes; Cathartidae. The record is from RefSeq and is a predicted model, not a curated record. The transcript is spliced from 3 exons.